Molecule: ribosomal RNA, 454 nt
Filed under: Streptomyces sp. AyD-013
Lineage: Bacteria; Bacillati; Actinomycetota; Actinomycetes; Kitasatosporales; Streptomycetaceae
Description: bacterial SSU rRNA
Rfam family: Bacterial small subunit ribosomal RNA
Source: RNAcentral
GAACGCUGGCGGCGUGCUUAACACAUGCAAGUCGAACGAUGAAANCACUUCGGUGGUGGAUUAGUGGCGAACGGGUGAGUAACACGUGGGCAAUCUGCCCUUCACUCUGGGACAAGCCCUGGAAACGGGGUCUAAUACCGGAUAACACUCUGUCCCGCAUGGGACGGGGUUGAAAGCUCCGGCGGUGAAGGAUGAGCCCGCGGCCUAUCAGCUUGUUGGUGGGGUAAUGGCCUACCAAGGCGACGACGGGUAGCCGGCCUGAGAGGGCGACCGGCCACACUGGGACUGAGACACGGCCCAGACUCCUACGGGAGGCAGCAGUGGGGAAUAUUGCACAAUGGGCGAAAGCCUGAUGCAGCGACGCCGCGUGAGGGAUGACGGCCUUCGGGUUGUAAACCUCUUUCAGCAGGGAAGAAGCGAAAGUGACGGUACCUGCAGAAGAAGCGCCGGCUAA